GACGAACGCUGGCGGCGUGCUUAACACAUGCAAGUCGAACGAAGAGCGAUGGAAGCUUGCUUCUAUCAAUCUUAGUGGCGAACGGGUGAGUAACGCGUAAUCAACCUGCCCUUCAGAGGGGGACAACAGUUGGAAACGACUGCUAAUACCGCAUACGAUCUAAUCUCGGCAUCGAGGAUAGAUGAAAGGUGGCCUCUACAUGUAAGCUAUCACUGAAGGAAGGGAUUGCGUCUGAUUAGCUAGUUGGAGGGGUAACGGCCCACCAAGGCGAUGAUCAGUAGCCGGUCUGAGAGGAUGAACGGCCACAUUGGGACUGAGACACGGCCCAGACUCCUACGGGAGGCAGCAGUGGGGAAUCUUCCGCAAUGGACGAAAGUCUGACGGAGCAACGCCGCGUGAGCGAUGACGGCCUUCGGGUUGUAAAGCUCUGUUAAUCGGGACGAAAGGCCUUCUUGCGAAUAGUGAGAAGGAUUGACGGUACCGGAAUAGAAAGCCACGGCUAACUACGUG
RNAcentral lists this ribosomal RNA (510 nucleotides) under uncultured bacterium. Its description in RNAcentral is "partial 16S ribosomal RNA". It matches the Rfam family "Bacterial small subunit ribosomal RNA", at positions 28 to 507 of the family's 1533-position model. The record is from RNAcentral.